GACGGGCGGUGAGUGCAGAAGAGGAAAGUGGAAUUCCACGUGUAGCGGUGAAAUGCGUAGAGAUGUGGAGGAACACCAGUGGCGAAGGCGACUUUCUGGUCUGUAACUGACGCUGAGGCGCGAAAGCGUGGGGAGCAAACAGGAUUAGAUACCCUGGUAGUCCACGCCGUAAACGAUGAGUGCUAAGUGUUAGGGGGUUUCCGCCCCUUAGUGCUGCAGCUAACGCAUUAAGCACUCCGCCUGGGGAGUACGGCCGCAAGGCUGAAACUCAAAGGAAUUGACGGGGGCCCGAACAAGCGGUGGAGCAUGUGGUUAACUCCAAACCAACGCCAAUAACCUACAAAA
This 345-nucleotide ribosomal RNA is filed under the name uncultured microorganism. RNAcentral describes it as "bacterial SSU rRNA". It matches the Rfam family "Bacterial small subunit ribosomal RNA", at positions 634 to 978 of the family's 1533-position model. The record is from RNAcentral.